Molecule: ribosomal RNA, 1085 nt
Filed under: Bacillus sonorensis
Lineage: Bacteria; Bacillati; Bacillota; Bacilli; Caryophanales; Bacillaceae
Description: bacterial SSU rRNA
Rfam family: Bacterial small subunit ribosomal RNA
Source: RNAcentral
GCAGGGCGGCAGCCUAUACAUGCAGUCGAGCGGACCGACGGGAGCUUGCUCCCUUAGGUCAGCGGCGGACGGGUGAGUAACACGUGGGUAACCUGCCUGUAAGACUGGGAUAACUCCGGGAAACCGGGGCUAAUACCGGAUGCUUGAUUGAACCGCAUGGUUCAAUUAUAAAAGGGGGCUUUUAACUACCACUUUCAGAUGGACCCGCGGCGCAAUAACUAGUUGGGGAGGGAACGGCUCCCCCAGGGGACCAUGCGUAACCCAACUGAAAGGGUGAUCGGCCCCCCUGGGACUGAAACACGGCCCAAACUCCUACGGGAGGGAGCAGUAGGGAAUCUUCCGCAAUGGACGAAAGUCUGACGGAACAACCCCCCGUGGGUGAUGAAGGUUUUCGGAUCCUAAAACUCUGUUGUUAGGGAAAAACAAGUACCGUUCGAAUAAGGGGGUACCUUGACGGGACCUAACCAGAAAGCCACGGCUAACUACCUGCCAACAGCCGCGGUAAUACCUAAGUGGCAAGCGUUGUCCGGAAUUAUUGGGCGUAAAGCGCGCGCAAGCGGUUUCUUAAGUCUGAAGUGAAAGCCCCCGGCUCCACCGGGGAAGGUCAUUGGAAACUGGGGAACUUGAGUGCAGAAGAAGAAAGUGGAAUUCCACGUGUAACGGUGAAAUGCCUAAAGAUGUGGGAAGAACACCAGUGGCGGAAGCGAAUCUCUGGUCUGUUACUGACGCUGAAGGCGCCAAAGCGUUGGGGAGCGAACCAGAUUAGAUACCCUGGGUAGUCCACGCCGUAAAACGAUGAAGUGCUAAGUGUUUAGAAGGUUUCCGCCCUUUAGUGCUGCAGCAAACGCAUUAAGCACUCCGCCUGGGGAGUACCGGUCCGCAGACUGAAACUCAAAGAAAUUGACCGGGGCCCGCACAGCGUGGAGCAUGUGUUAAUUCGAAGCAACGCCGAGACUUACCAGUCUUGACAUCUCUGACAACCUAAGAUAGGCUCCCCUUCGGGGCAGAUGACAGUGGUGCAUGGCUGUCGUCAGCCUCUGUCCUGAAAUGUGGUUUAGUUCCCGCACGAGCGCCAACCCUGAACU